This 988-nucleotide ribosomal RNA is filed under the name marine metagenome. Its description in RNAcentral is "bacterial LSU rRNA". It matches the Rfam family "Bacterial large subunit ribosomal RNA", at positions 1923 to 2925 of the family's 2925-position model. The record is from RNAcentral.
GUAAACGGCGGCCGUAACUAUAACGGUCCUAAGGUAGCGAAAUUCCUUGUCGGGUAAGUUCCGACCUGCACGAAUGGCGUAACGACUUCCCCGCUGUCUCCAACAUAGACUCAGUGAAAUUGAAUUGCCUGUCAAGAUGCAGGCUUCCCGCGGUUAGACGGAAAGACCCCGUGCACCUUUACUACAACUUUACACUGAUAACAGGCACAACAUGUGCAGAAUAGGUGGUAGGCUUUGAAGCAGAAACGCCAGUUUUUGUGGAGCCUCCUUUGAGAUACCACCCUUGUUUUGCUUGUUAUCUAACUGCGGUCCGUUAUCCGGAUCCAGGACCCUGUAUGGUGGGUAGUUUGACUGGGGCGGUCGCCUCCUAAAGCGUAACGGAGGCGCGCGAAGGUUGGCUCAGAGCGGUCGGAAAUCGCUCGUUGAGUGCAAUGGCAGAAGCCAGCCUGACUGCGAGACUGACAAGUCGAGCAGAGACGAAAGUCGGUCAUAGUGAUCCGGUGGUCCCGAGUGGAAGGGCCAUCGCUCAACGGAUAAAAGGUACGCCGGGGAUAACAGGCUGAUGACGCCCAAGAGUCCAUAUCGACGGCGUUGUUUGGCACCUCGAUGUCGGCUCAUCUCAUCCUGGGGCUGGAGCAGGUCCCAAGGGUAUGGCUGUUCGCCAUUUAAAGAGGUACGUGAGCUGGGUUUAGAACGUCGUGAGACAGUUCGGUCCCUAUCUGCCGUGGGUGUAGGAUACUUGAGAGGAGUUGCCCCUAGUACGAGAGGACCGGGGUGAACGAUCCACUGGUGGACCAGUUGUCGACUACGGCAGUGCUGGGUAGCUAUGAUCGGACAGGAUAACCGCUGAAAGCAUCUAAGCGGGAAGCCCCCCUCAAAACAAGGUAUCCCUGAGGACCGAGGUAGACCACCUCGUCGAUAGGCCAGAGGUGUAAGCGUGGUAACACGUUCAGCUGACUGGUACUAAUGGUCCGAUAGGCUUGAUUUG